RNAcentral lists this ribosomal RNA (492 nucleotides) under uncultured Clostridiaceae bacterium. Its description in RNAcentral is "partial 16S ribosomal RNA". Lineage: Bacteria; Bacillati; Bacillota; Clostridia; Eubacteriales; Clostridiaceae. The record is from RNAcentral.
CACGUAGUUAGCCGUGUCUUCCUCCUCAGGUACCGUCAUCAUCGUCCCUGAAGACAGAGCUUUACAACCCGAAGGCCGUCAUCACUCACGCGGCGUUGCUGCAUCAGGGUUUCCCCCAUUGUGCAAUAUUCCCCACUGCUGCCUCCCGUAGGAGUCUGGGCCGUGUCUCAGUCCCAAUGUGGCCGAUCACCCUCUCAGGUCGGCUACGCAUCGUCGCCUUGGUGAGCCGUUACCUCACCAACUAGCUAAUGCGCCGCGGGCCCAUCUCAUAGCGGAUUGCUCCUUUAAUUGCUACUUCAUGCGAAGCUACAAUCUUAUGCGGUAUUAAUCUCCCUUUCGGAAGGCUAUUCCCCUCUAUGAGGCAGGUUGCCCACGUGUUACUCACCCGUCCGCCGCUAGCUUUGUUCCGAAGAAACUCCACUCGCUCGACUUGCAUGUGUUAGGCACGCCGCCAGCGUCGUCGUCGUCGUCGACGACGUACGUACGUACUAC